This 74-nucleotide transfer RNA is filed under the name Denticeps clupeoides (denticle herring). RNAcentral describes it as "tRNA-Leu (UUR)". It matches the Rfam family "tRNA". Rfam says of the family: Transfer RNA (tRNA) molecules are approximately 80 nucleotides in length. Their secondary structure includes four short double-helical elements and three loops (D, anti-codon, and T loops). Lineage: Eukaryota; Metazoa; Chordata; Actinopteri; Clupeiformes; Denticipitidae. The record is from RNAcentral.
AUUAAGAUGGCAGAGCCCGGUAAAUGCGAAAGGCCUAAGCCCUUUUACUCAGGGGUUCAAAUCCCCUUCUUAAU